RNAcentral lists this ribosomal RNA (1472 nucleotides) under metagenome. Its description in RNAcentral is "bacterial SSU rRNA". It matches the Rfam family "Bacterial small subunit ribosomal RNA". The record is from RNAcentral.
AGAGUUUGAUCCUGGCUCAGGAUGAACGCUAGCGGCAGGCUUAACACAUGCAAGUCGAGGGGUAUAGUUCUUCGGAAUUAGAGACCGGCGCACGGGUGCGUAACGCGUAUGCAAUCUACCUUUCACAGAGGGAUAGCCCAGAGAAAUUUGGAUUAAUACCUCAUAGUAUAUAGAGUUGGCAUCAACAUUAUAUUAAAGUCACAACGGUGAAAGAUGAGCAUGCGUCCCAUUAGCUAGUUGGUAAGGUAACGGCUUACCAAGGCAACGAUGGGUAGGGGUCCUGAGAGGGAGAUCCCCCACACUGGUACUGAGACACGGACCAGACUCCUACGGGAGGCAGCAGUGAGGAAUAUUGGUCAAUGGGCGCAAGCCUGAACCAGCCAUGCCGCGUGCAGGAUGACGGUCCUAUGGAUUGUAAACUGCUUUUGUACGGGAAGAAACAACGAUUCGUGAAUCGUCUUGACGGUACCGUAAGAAUAAGGAUCGGCUAACUCCGUGCCAGCAGCCGCGGUAAUACGGAGGAUCCAAGCGUUAUCCGGAAUCAUUGGGUUUAAAGGGUCCGUAGGCGGUUUAGUAAGUCAGUGGUGAAAGCCCAUCGCUCAACGGUGGAACGGCCAUUGAUACUGCUAGACUUGAAUUAUUAGGAAGUAACUAGAAUAUGUAGUGUAGCGGUGAAAUGCUUAGAGAUUACAUGGAAUACCAAUUGCGAAGGCAGGUUACUACUAAUGGAUUGACGCUGAUGGACGAAAGCGUGGGUAGCGAACAGGAUUAGAUACCCUGGUAGUCCACGCCGUAAACGAUGGAUACUAGCUGUUGGGAGCAAUCUCAGUGGCUAAGCGAAAGUGAUAAGUAUCCCACCUGGGGAGUACGUUCGCAAGAAUGAAACUCAAAGGAAUUGACGGGGGCCCGCACAAGCGGUGGAGCAUGUGGUUUAAUUCGAUGAUACGCGAGGAACCUUACCAAGGCUUAAAUGUAGAUUGACCGAUUUGGAAACAGAUCUUUCGCAAGACAAUUUACAAGGUGCUGCAUGGUUGUCGUCAGCUCGUGCCGUGAGGUGUCAGGUUAAGUCCUAUAACGAGCGCAACCCCUGUUGUUAGUUGCCAGCGAGUCAUGUCGGGAACUCUAACGAGACUGCCAGUGCAAACUGUGAGGAAGGUGGGGAUGACGUCAAAUCAUCACGGCCCUUACGCCUUGGGCUACACACGUGCUACAAUGGCCGGUACAGAGAGCAGCCACUGGGCGACCAGGAGCGAAUCUACAAAACCGGUCACAGUUCGGAUCGGAGUCUGCAACUCGACUCCGUGAAGCUGGAAUCGCUAGUAAUCGGAUGUCAGCCAUGAUCCGGUGAAUACGUUCCCGGGCCUUGUACACACCGCCCGUCAAGCCAUGGAAGCUGGGGGUGCCUGAAGUCGGUGACCGCAAGGAGCUGCCUAGGGUAAAACUGGUAACUAGGGCUAAGUCGUAACAAGGUA